RNAcentral lists this ribosomal RNA (392 nucleotides) under uncultured bacterium. RNAcentral's name for it is "partial 16S ribosomal RNA". It matches the Rfam family "Bacterial small subunit ribosomal RNA", at positions 523 to 918 of the family's 1533-position model. The record is from RNAcentral.
AUACGGAGGAUCCGAGCGUUAUCCGGAUUUAUUGGGGUUAAAGGGUGCGCAGGCGGCCAUUUAAGUCAGCGGUUAAAUCGUGGGGCUCAACCCCAUUCUGCCGUUGAUACUGGGUGGCUUGAUUGCGGUCGAGGUUGGCGGAAUUCGUUGUGUAGGGGGGAAAUGCAUAGAUAUGACGAAGAACACCGAUUGCGUAGGCAGCUGACCAGACCGCAAAUGACGCUCAUGCACGAAAGUGCGGGGAUCGAACAGGAUUAUAUACCCUGGUAGUCCGCACAGUAAACGAUGAAUACUUGUUUUCGGCGAUAUAAUGUCGGAGGCAAAGCGAAAGCGAUAAGUAUUCCACCUGGGGAGUACGCCGGCAACGGUGAAACUCAAAGGAAUUGACGGGG